GACGAACGCUGGCGGCGUGCCUAAUACAUGCAAGUCGAGCGAACAGACGAGGAGCUUGCUCCUCUGACGUUAGCGGCGGACGGGUGAGUAACACGUGGAUAACCUACCUAUAAGACUGGGAUAACUUCGGGAAACCGGAGCUAAUACCGGAUAAUAUAUUGAACCGCAUGGUUCAAUAGUGAAAGACGGUUUUGCUGUCACUUAUAGAUGGAUCCGCGCCGCAUUAGCUAGUUGGUAAGGUAACGGCUUACCAAGGCAACGAUGCGUAGCCGACCUGAGAGGGUGAUCGGCCACACUGGAACUGAGACACGGUCCAGACUCCUACGGGAGGCAGCAGUAGGGAAUCUUCCGCAAUGGGCGAAAGCCAGACGGAGCAACGCCGCGUGAGUGAUGAAGGUCUUCGGAUCGUAAAACUCUGUUAUUAGGGAAGAACAAAUGUGUAAGUAACUAUGCACGUCUUGACGGUACCUAAUCAGAAAGCCACGGCUAACUACGUG
RNAcentral lists this ribosomal RNA (497 nucleotides) under uncultured bacterium. RNAcentral's name for it is "partial 16S ribosomal RNA". It matches the Rfam family "Bacterial small subunit ribosomal RNA", at positions 28 to 507 of the family's 1533-position model. The record is from RNAcentral.